This 501-nucleotide ribosomal RNA is filed under the name uncultured bacterium. Its description in RNAcentral is "bacterial SSU rRNA". It matches the Rfam family "Bacterial small subunit ribosomal RNA", at positions 22 to 518 of the family's 1533-position model. The record is from RNAcentral.
GGUCAGGAUGAACGCUGGCGGCGUGCCUAAUACAUGCAAGUCGAACGAGGUAGCAAUACCGAGUGGCGAACGGGUGAGUAACACGUAGGUAACCUGCCCUUAAGCUCGGGAUACCCAGAGGAAACUUUGGCUAAUACCGGAUAACAACAGAGAAGGCAUCUUCUUUGCUUGAAAGGCCCCUUCAAGGGUCACUUAAGGAUGGACCUGCGGCGCAUUAGCUAGUUGGUGAGAUAACAGCCCACCAAGGCGAGGAUGCGUAGCCGAACUGAGAGGUUGAUCGGCCACAUUGGAACUGAGACACGGUCCAAACUCCUACGGGAGGCAGCAGUAAGGAGUUUUCGGCAAUGGGGGAAACCCUGACCGAGCAACGCCGCGUGAGCGAUGACGGCCCUAUUGGGUUGUAAAGCUCUGUUGUAAGCCAUGAAUGACAGCUUGAGGAAAUGCAAGUUGUUUGACGACAGCUUACCAGAAAGCCACGGCUAACUACGUGCCAGCCGCCGC